Acinonyx jubatus (cheetah) is the source of this 3096-nucleotide long non-coding RNA. RefSeq lists it as uncharacterized. The transcript has 3 exons. Lineage: Eukaryota; Metazoa; Chordata; Mammalia; Carnivora; Felidae. The record is from RefSeq and is a predicted model, not a curated record.
AUGUGUACCGUAUUCCAAGUACUGUACAAAUAGUAACUCGUUGAUCCUCAAAACCCUGGGAGAUAAGGUAGCUUUACUGUCAUUAUUUAACGUGGGGACAGGUAAAACUGAGGGACAGAGAAGUUAAGCAACUUACCCUAUGUUACACAGCUAUCAUCUGGUGGAAGCAGGAUUUAAACCUAUGUGGAUAGUCUCCAAAGUCACCAUUUGUCUAUAACAUUGAUCAGAAACCUGUGGAUGUUGUGGUAAAUUGCUUUCUCACCAUUUGAAAUCCUUGACUUGAGCUACAAGAGAUACAGUUUACUUUUUUGGGAAUUUCAUUAUACUAUAGUCCCCCCUUAUCCACAGUUUUACUUUCCAUGGUUUCAGUUACCCAUGGUCAGGAAGCAGAUGAUUCUCCUGAUGUAUCAGCAGAAGGUCAACAGUAGCCUAAUCAAGUCAUAGUAUUUACGUCGUUCACUUUAUUUCAUCUCAUCAUGGAAGGCAUUUUAUCAUCUUACAUCAUCACAAGGAGGGUCAAAAUCUCAUAGAAAAGGAAAUGGGAAGAAUAUUUCAUUCAGAAGACAAAUGCUAAAAAAAUAAUUUGACAACUGCACAUGGAUAUGGAAUGGAACAUCCCUUAUUCCUUUGGCCCAGACAGCGUUGUUGAGCCUGCUGUCAAUGCACAUAUCUGUCGUUCCCCUUUCUUUUGUGGUAAGUUUCUGGAUCUCUUUGAGCGCCCGAGGAGUACAUUUCUUGAAACCCACUCCAUCGUUGCACUUGUUGGAGGUUGAUGGUGUAUUCUCUGGUCACUACUUUGCUGGUAGCAGAACGGCCCUUCUGUCACCCUUCCUUGGGGGAGCCAUUCUGAAGGGCCAGGUUGGAAAGGAGUUACUUAGUUAUUAUUGAAUCAAAAAGUUCAACAUGGUGUGGCUCACCACUGUAGUUUUAUCAAAGGUACUAAGUAUUUUCUUUCUCUUUGGCUCUCUUAUUAAUAUCAUUUUAAAAGUGAUAUUAUUUGAAUGUCCGCAUGUCAUGCUGAUUUUGUGAAUACAAAUAAAUUCACCCUAAUAAUGCUGCCUAAAUAAGAUUUAAUAAUCACCUUAAGUUUAAUAGUCAUCCCUUCCCACCCCCAAGCGCCCUCAUUUAGGACAGGAAAUACUCAGCUGGGUCUCCCAGGUGCUCCAGAAUAAUUCCACUCAUGCUCUAUGGCUCUGGGUUCCUAGUCAAGACAUUUGACUGUAUAUUGGCCACCAAUGCCCUUUAUGAGAAUAUGCCUUUACUGGUGGAGCCAUUCCUUAUUGGUGGCAAGGUUGCACAACGGUCUGUGGCAGACUGGGUGAGAGAAUGGCCCUCUCCCUGGCUCUGUGUCACUAGGGCCCAUAGUAAUACAUCUUACACUCGAAAUCCCACAAAGUCAUUUGUGAAAAUAAUUCCUCAGUUUCUGGCCCUAACUUCUUUCCCCAACAUGCUCAAAAGCAUUUGCAGACUCUGUGGGAGAGUAGGGAAUGCAGGCAUCACACCAUUCCCUCCUUUCCUUUUGCCAGUUUCUCAAGGUCACGGGCACAGCAUGUCCCCUUCCUUCUUCAUUUAGAAAUAUACACUCCACGAAGUUCAACUUAUACAAACGGAUGGCUGGAGAUGUCACUGAUAACCAGGUUCUAAAUCCCAGCGUGGUCUCAGGUAAACCACCUGAGACCUUAUCCUUCUUUCUUAUAUCCCUGUCAAUCAGACAGAGAUUACUAAUUCCAAAGGCAUCUUGGCUACUUGUCUCCUUUUGUGUCCCCUUUGAAAGUGAAACAACUGCAUGUGGAGAGAAGAGUCACACAUUUCGGAGGCUGAAGCCAUCCCCACCCUGAGUCAUAGCUGCCUGGCCUCACUAGGGAUCUAGACACGGGCUCCUCAGCAACAUGGAGCUCUGGGGAUUUCUGUUUUGCUGGGACUGAUGUGUGAACAUUUACAAUAACAGUCAACAUAAGAACAAUGACACAACAUAGGUAAGGAUUUAAUUUUAUUCCUUAUUUUUCAAAAAGCUUCCUUAACAUGAUGUGACAGUUACUAAUGCCCUAUUACUUUAAGUUCUGCUAAAGUAUAUGAGGACCCAUGACAUUAAGUCCAUUUAAAAACUCUUGUUCUUUUCUGGGAAGAAUAGUGCAAAGUAUAAUAUUGAACAAUAGUUUAAGGGUAGUGUAAAGCACAAUACAGUGUAAAUGAUGAUGUAAAAAUGAUUAACAAAAAGGCAGUGGAGAAUUUCUCCUCACCUUCACAUGACCCAAAUUAUGCAUUUUUUGUUUGUUUUGAAAUUGAUGUUUCCACGUUAAUUCUGGGGGAAGUAUAGCCUCUUCUUUCUGAUUCCUACUCCUAACCUCAGGGUGACAUCCACCUUAGAUACUUAAGUAUCUGCAAUUUUCAUAAAGAAAGGAUAAGUAAACUCACAUUCAAGGACCAAUCAUGGUUAUGAUAAAGCUUAGUAUAUGUUUCCCUGAGGCAUUCUAGUGGAAAGGCACUAGUCUGAUUGCAAUGUUUCCUCUGCUGCUCAUUAUUUAUGAGAUGUGAACCCAGCAUGACAAACUUUCUGAGCCUAGUCUGUUUAAAAACUAGCAAUGAUAUUGGGGCACCUGUGUGGCUCAGUCGGUUAAGUGUCCAACUUCGGCUUAGGUCACAAUCUCAUGGUUCCUGAUAUAAAGCCCCGUGUCUACCUCUGUACUGACAGCUCAGAGCCUGGAGCCUGCUUCAGAUUAUGUGUCUCCCUCUCUUUGCCCUCCCCUGCUUGCACUCCCUCUCUCAAAAAUAAGUAAACAUUUAAAAAAAAAACAACUACCAACAAUAUCACCAAUUUUACAGGAGUUUUUAGAAGAAUAAAUGUGGGAAUGCAAGCUAGUGCAGCCACUGGAAAACAGUAUGGAGUUUCCUCAAAAAACUAAAAAUAGAACUACCCUAUGACCCAGCAACUGCACUACUAGGUAUUUAUCCAAGGGAUACAGGUAUGCUGUUUCGAAGGGGCACAUGCACCCCAAUGUUUAUAGCAGCACCAUCAACAAUAGCUAAAGUAUGCAAAGAGCCCAAAUGUCCAUCGAUGGAUGAAUGGAUAAAGAAGAUGUGGUAUACAUACACACA